GUUUUGGUUCUAAUUUCUAAACAGCAAAAGCUGACGCAGAUAAACAUUACACCAAACAAGCAAACGAUCCCCAACAGAGAGAAAAAGAAAAGCGAGAAUUCCCCAAGGAAAACCCACUCCCCUAAUUAUCCCAAUUUCUCUCCUCAAAUUCUCAAAUCUUGGCAUUUCGGUCGGUUCUGAUUCGCUUUGAUAUUGGGUUUCCACAGGAAGUUUUAAGGAUAAAGACUUGCGUGAAGGGGAUUACGACAUGGCUGGUAAUGGUGCGGCCUGUGCAGAGAGGGCAACAAGUGAUAUGUUGAUUGGUCCAGACUGGGCAAUAAAUAUUGAAUUAUGUGAUAUUAUCAAUAUUGACCCUGGGCAAGCAAAAGAGGCCUUGAAGAUACUCAAGAAGCGCCUGGGCAGCAAAAAUCCAAAAAUACAACUCCUGGCUCUUUUUGCAUUGGAGACUGUGAGCAAGAACUGUGGUGAGAAUGUUUUUCAGCAGAUCGUUGAGCGUGAUAUCUUGCAUGAAAUGGUCAAAAUAGUAAAGAAGAAGCCAGACUUGAAUGUUAGGGAAAAGAUACUAAUUUUGAUAGAUACAUGGCAAGAAGCUUUUGGGGGACCAAGGGGAAGAUUUCCCCAGUAUUAUGCAGCAUAUAAUGAAUUGAGGUCUGCAGGAGUUGAAUUUCCACCAAGAGAAGAGAACAGUGUACCAAUAUUUACUCCGCCCCAGACCCAGCCAGUAGUUUCUCCUGUUACAUCAUAUGAUGAUGCUGCCAUUCAGGCUUCUCUCCAGUCGGAUGCAUCGGGCCUUAGCUUGCCAGAGAUUCAGAAUGCUCGUGGAAUUGCAGAUGUGUUGAUGGAAAUGCUUAAUGCCUUGGAUGCUAAGAAUCCUGAGGGUUUGAAGGAAGAAGUGAUUGUUGACCUUGUUGAUCAGUGCCGUUCAUACCAAAAGCGUGUCAGGCUUCUUGUGAAUGAGACUGCAGAUGAGGAGCUUCUAUGUCAGGGGAUUGGCACUGAACGAUGAUCUGCAGCGUGUGUAAUUUCUCGGCAUGACGAUAUUGUGAAAGGAACUACAACUGUAGUAAGAGGAGCAGAAUCUUCAGUUGUGCCACUUGUGAAUGUGAACCAUGAGGAUGAUGAGUCUGAGGAUGAAUUUUCCCAACUAGCGCACAGGUCAUCAAGAGAUAAUUCACAAGGACAGGGCCAGAGAUCAGCCAAUGCCAAGGCUGAACCUGUGCAAGUCAGCCCACUUCUUCCUCCUCCACCGUCUUCGCAAAGGCCAAUCACUCUAGGUCCUGGUGUGAUUGAUUAUCUCAGUGGAGAAGCCUACAAAUCUGAAGGAUCCUCUGCAACAUCAGAAUCCACAUCCUUUGCAGCUCCAGUUCAUUCCAGCUCCACCUCACGAUUGACUCCACUAUCACCCUCACCCCCUUCUUCCCAAAACACAACUCCAUCACCUAUAUUCACUGGAAAGCCUGUAUAUGAUGAACCGGCUCCUAGAAGCAAAUCUAUAGAUGGGCUCCCUCCUGCCCCUUGGGAUACUCAGUCUCUGGGGAAUCCUCAGUCUCCUGGCAAUGGUCAAUCUCCUGUCAGCCUUCCACCUCCGCCUUCCAGGUAUAACCAGAGACAACAGUUUUUUGAGAAACAAGGCGUUCCAGGCAGUGGAUCUGGUUCAUCUUAUGACAACUUAGUGGGACAGACUCAGAAUCUCUCCCUUAAUUCGUCUACCCCAACAAAACAAGUAAAACAGGAAGAUGCUCUUUUCAAGGAUCUAGUUGAUUUUGCAAAAGCCAAGUCAUCUUCUUCAAACCCGAAUAGGUCAUUUUGAGUUGUGCCCAUCAGCGUAUCGGUCAGUCUGGCUCUGGACCUUGUUCCUCACUUACACAUGAGAUCAUGAGAUUACCUGUUGCUAAAUAAAUAUUGGUAGGAACUUUUUCAGUUUUGGUUUGUCUAUGCUGUUUAGUUGGUAUAUUUCCGAGAUGUCAGCAGGCAUUGCAUAUAAUUUAAUGUAUUGAUGUACCUUAUUGUUUGAUUUCUUUGAUCUCGGUUUGUUUUUAACGGUUGGCCAAAUUUUUCU
Malus domestica (apple) is the source of this 2059-nucleotide non-coding RNA. Lineage: Eukaryota; Viridiplantae; Streptophyta; Magnoliopsida; Rosales; Rosaceae. The record is from RefSeq and is a predicted model, not a curated record.